This 1824-nucleotide long non-coding RNA is filed under the name Marmota monax (woodchuck). Lineage: Eukaryota; Metazoa; Chordata; Mammalia; Rodentia; Sciuridae. The record is from RNAcentral.
CUUUUAUGAGGUAAAAUAAAGACAAUUUCUCAUGAAUAGAUCUAUCACCAGAAGACAGACAUGCUGAAUGAUAUUAGAGAGAAACUUGGAUCAUUGAGUGUGAAGAAAGAGAAACAAGUGGCCAAAGUAGUGCUUAUCUAUAAUCCCAGUUACUCAGGAGGCUGAGGAAGGAGGAUUACAAACUCAAGGUCAGCCUGGGCAACUUAGGCCCUUUCUCAAAAAAAAAUGUAAAAUACAAAGAGCUGGGGAUAUAGCUCAGUGGUAGGGCAGCCCUGGACUCGACCCUCAGUACAGGGGGGAAGGAAAGAAGAAGUAAAGAAAACAAAAAUGUAAACACCAUACAAUACUACUUUACUCUCUUAAACUCCUGGAAGUACUGAGUAUUGAAAGAAAAACAUGAAAAAGAAAUGUUGUGUUGCCUGGUAGAGUUUUCUGUGUUAUAUAUUUUUUCUGUGUUAUAUAUUGAUAUUAUAAAUAUGGCAACUACAACAUGACUGGAGAAUAAAUGACUUAUAUUGGUAAGGCUUCAAAAUUCCACUUCAGGUACUAAAAGCAUUAACUCCCAGAAGAUGGUGAAAAUACAAACAUUGCAGUCUCUAGAGAAACCACUAAAAACAAACUAUACAACAAGCUGUAGUCAAAAAUUCAAUUGGUGAAUUAAAAUAGAAGACUAAAAACUAUUCAAAUAAAGAAAAGAAGACAGAAAAGGGGGGAAGGAGAAGAAAUAUAUAGAACAAUCAGAAAACAAAUGAUAAAAUAAUAGACAAAAUACAAACACAUCAGUAAUGACACUAAAUAUACAUGGCCUACACAUACCAAUUAAAAGACAGAGACUGUCAGAAUUUAUUCUUAAAAUGCCCUAACUAUAUUCUGUGUAUAAGAAACUUACUUCAAGAAUAUUUAAAAGUAGGUAGGUUGAAAACAAAAGGUGGGAAAGGUUGUACUAUGUAAACACUAAUCAAAAGAAAGCUGAGCAACUGUUUCUAAGCAAGAAAAAUUAUCAGGGAUAAGGAGGAACAUGAAUUAUAUAAUGACAAAAUAGACAAUUCACAAAGAAGAUGUGACAGUUCUAAUGCGCAUCCUCCUAACAAGAGAACUUAAAAAUAUAUGAAGUAAAAUAGGAUACAACUGAAAGGAAAUGAAAAACAUUCACAGUUAAAGUUAGAGACCUCAAAGCUCUUCUCUUCAUAACUGAUAUGUCAAGUUCAUAGAAAAUCAGCAAGGAUACAAAAGAAGAACCGAACAAAAACACCAGUCAACUCAAUCUAACUGACAUUUACAAACUACUCCACCCAACAAGAACAGAAUACUUGAACAAGGAACAGUCACUGAGAGAAGUCAUACCCUGUAUCACAUCAUGGGAAGAAAAUUCAACAUAAUUUAAAGAAUGAAAAUCACACACACACAAAAAUAUCUUCCCCAACUGAAAUGGAAUGAAUUGAAAUAGAAACCAAAAAGAUAUUGGCAAGUAGGACAUUUGCAAUAUACUUUUAUAACCUUCUCUUUCUACAAGUCCCUUACAUUUCAGCCAAACCUUGCUCUUUAAGCAUGCAAAAUGCUUUCUGUGUUAAUUGGCUUCUUGUCUCCAUGACCAAAGUACCUUACAAGAACAACUCAAAGGAGGAAAAGUUCAUUUUGGGCUCACCGUUUCAGAGGUUCAGUCUAUGGUCAGCCAACUCCAUUUCUCUGGGCCUGAGUGAAACAGAGCACCAAGAUGGAAGGAAAAGGUGGGGCAGAGCUGCUCAGGUCAUGGCAAGCAGGAAGACGAGAACAAGGUUCCAGAGACAAGAUAAAAUCCAUAAAGCUGCAUCCCCAGUGACCUAC